Molecule: ribosomal RNA, 439 nt
Filed under: uncultured bacterium
Lineage: Bacteria
Description: partial 16S ribosomal RNA
Rfam family: Bacterial small subunit ribosomal RNA
Source: RNAcentral
CCUACGGGAGGCAGCAGUGGAGAAUAUUGCACAAUGGGCGAAAGCCUGAUGCUGCAACGCCGCGUGGGCGAUGAAAGCCUUCGGGUCGUAAAGCUCUGUCCUCAAGGAAGAUAAUGACAGUACUAGCAGAGGAAGCGCCAGCGAACUACGUGUCAGCCGCAGCGGUAAUACGUAGGGGGCUAGCGUUAUCCGGAUUUACUGUGCGUGAAGGGUUCGUAGGUGGUUUCUUAUGUCAGAGGUGAAAGUCUACGGCUCAACCGUAGUAAGCCUAUGAAACUGGGGAACUUGAGUGCAGGAGAGGAGAGCGGAAUUCCGAGUGUAGCUGUGAAAUGCGUAGAUAUCAGGAGGAACACUAGUGGCGAAGGCGGGUUCCUGGACAGUAACUGACACUGAGGCACGAAAGCGUGGGGAGCAAACAGGAUUAGAUACCCGUGUAGUC